This 468-nucleotide ribosomal RNA is filed under the name uncultured bacterium. RNAcentral's name for it is "partial 16S ribosomal RNA". It matches the Rfam family "Bacterial small subunit ribosomal RNA", at positions 28 to 507 of the family's 1533-position model. The record is from RNAcentral.
GACGAACGCUGGCGGCGUGCUUAACACAUGCAAGUCGAACGGAAAGGCCCUGCUUUUGUGGGGUGCUCGAGUGGCGAACGGGUGAGUAACACGUGAGUAACCUGCCCUUGACUUUGGGAUAACUUCAGGAAGCUGGGGCUAAUACCGGAUAGGAGCUCCUGCUGCAUGGUGGGGGUUGGAAAGUUUCGGCGGUUGGGGAUGGACUCGCAGCUUAUCAGCUUGUUGGUGGGGUAGUGGCUUACCAAGGCUUUGACGGGUAGCCGGCCUGAGAGGGUGACCGGCCACAUUGGGACUGAGAUACGGCCCAGACUCCUACGGGAGGCAGCAGUGGGGAAUAUUGCACAAUGGGCGGAAGCCUGAUGCAGCAACGCCGCGUGCGGGAUGACGGCCUUCGGGUUGUAAACCGCUUUCGCCUGUGACGAAGCGUGAGUGACGGUAAUGGGUAAAGAAGCACCGGCUAACUACGUG